RNAcentral lists this ribosomal RNA (180 nucleotides) under uncultured bacterium. Its description in RNAcentral is "partial 16S ribosomal RNA". It matches the Rfam family "Bacterial small subunit ribosomal RNA", at positions 336 to 508 of the family's 1533-position model. The record is from RNAcentral.
CUCCUACGGGAGGCAGCAGUAGGGAAUUUUCGUCAAUGGGGGGAACCCUGAACGAGCAAUGCCGCGUGAGUGAGGAAGGUCUUCGGAUCGUAAAGCUCUGUUGUAAGAGAAAAACGGCACUCAUAGGGAAUGAUGAGUGAGUGAUGGUAUCUUACCAGAAAGUCACGGCUAACUACGUGC